CCAGCUUUCUACAUUACAAGCAAUAUCUCAAUUGUCAUAUUGUCUUUCAUGGAUGCUGUAUUAAUUUAUUCUUUUAUCUAGUUUUAGAGACUAUUUAUUUUUCUGUGUCCUCACCAACAUGAAGGAUCAUCAGAUGUUUUACAUUUGUUGUGAUUCCUUUCAAACCAAAUAAAGUGCCUCCCGAGAGACUCUGGGGAAUUCCUACACCUGCAUGCUCUGCUCAACUGCUACGGUUUCCCAGUGGUUCCCUUUGGCAUCUCACAUUGCUUUGAGCUGAAGACUUCUCUCAUGGCCUCCUCUAGCACCCCCAGGGAUCACUGAGCAAGGCUAUGGUAUAAUAAGCCCGAGUGAAAGUUGUAGGCUCACGUGAGUCUGUUCAGUGUGGAAAAUGGAAGCUGCUGGCUGCAAUGCAUGUGAACAUCACACACUGCCUCUCAAGUUGGCUCUGGUGGCCACUCUUCAUGUUUCCAAGGCACAGUCAACCUGCCGUUGUCCUUGCCUGUCAGCCAAUCCGAGG
This 517-nucleotide long non-coding RNA is filed under the name Fukomys damarensis (Damara mole-rat). RNAcentral describes it as "lncRNA (ENSFDAG00000032940.1)". The record is from RNAcentral. Lineage: Eukaryota; Metazoa; Chordata; Mammalia; Rodentia; Bathyergidae.